GAUGAACGCUGGCGGCGUGCUUAACACAUGCAAGUCGAACGGAAAGGCUCCUGCUUGCAGGGGUACUCGAGUGGCGAACGGGUGAGUAACACGUGGGUGAUCUGCCCUGCACUUCGGGAUAAGCCUGGGAAACUGGGUCUAAUACCGGAUAGGACGAUGGUUUGGAUGCCAUUGUGGAAAGUUUUUCGGUGUGGGAUGAGCUCGCGGCCUAUCAGCUUGUUGGUGGGGUAAUGGCCUACCAAGGCGUCGACGGGUAGCCGGCCUGAGAGGGUGUACGGCCACAUUGGGACUGAGAUACGGCCCAGACUCCUACGGGAGGCAGCAGUGGGGAAUAUUGCACAAUGGGCGCAAGCCUGAUGCAGCGACGCCGCGUGGGGGAGGACGGCCUUCGGGUUGUAAACUCCUUUCGUCAGGGACGAAGCGAAAGUGACGGUACCUGGAUAAGAAGCACCGGCUAACUACGUGC
Molecule: ribosomal RNA, 466 nt
Filed under: uncultured bacterium
Lineage: Bacteria
Description: partial 16S ribosomal RNA
Rfam family: Bacterial small subunit ribosomal RNA
Source: RNAcentral